This 661-nucleotide ribosomal RNA is filed under the name uncultured bacterium. RNAcentral's name for it is "bacterial SSU rRNA". It matches the Rfam family "Bacterial small subunit ribosomal RNA", at positions 94 to 788 of the family's 1533-position model. The record is from RNAcentral.
AGUGGCGGACGGGUGAGUAAGCGUGAGAAUCUACCUUCAGGACGGGGACAACAGCUGGAAACGGCUGCUAAUACCCGAUAUGCCGAAAGGUGAAAAGUUUUUUCGCCUGGAGAGGAGCUCGCGUCCGAUUAGCUAGUUGGUGAGGUAAAAGCUUACCAAGGCGACGAUCGGUAGCUGGUCUGAGAGGAUGAGCAGCCACACUGGAACUGAGACACGGUCCAGACUCCUACGGGAGGCAGCAGUGGGGAAUUUUCCGCAAUGGGCGAAAGCCUGACGGAGCAACGCCGCGUGGGGGAAGAAGGUUUUUGGAUUGUAAACCCCUUUUCUCAAGGAAGAACAAAAUGACGGUACUUGAGGAAUCAGCCUCGGCUAACUCCGUGCCAGCAGCCGCGGUAAUACGGAGGAGGCAAGCGUUAUCCGGAAUUAUUGGGCGUAAAGCGUUCGUAGGCGGCUGUUCAAGUCUGCUGUCAAAGACCGAGGCUCAACCUCGGGUAGGCAGUGGAAACUGGAUAGCUAGAGGUCGGUAGGGGCAGAGGGAAUUCCCAGUGUAGCGGUGAAAUGCGUAGAUAUUGGGAAGAACACCGGUGGCGAAAGCGCUCUGCUGGGCCGAACCUGACGCUGAGGGACGAAAGCUAGGGGAGCGAAUGGGAUUAGAUACCCC